RNAcentral lists this ribosomal RNA (428 nucleotides) under uncultured bacterium. Its description in RNAcentral is "bacterial SSU rRNA". It matches the Rfam family "Bacterial small subunit ribosomal RNA", at positions 355 to 775 of the family's 1533-position model. The record is from RNAcentral.
UGGGGAAUAUUCCGCAAUGGACGAAAGUCUGACGGAGCAACGCCGCGUGAGUGAUGAAGGUUUUCGGACUGUAAAGCUCUGUUGUUUAGGACGAAAGUGCCUGUUGCGAACAGUUACAGGUAUUGACGGUACUAAACGAGGAAGCCACGGCUAACUACGUGCCAGCAGCCGCCGUAAUACGUAGGUGGCAAGCGUUGUCCGGAAUUAUUGGGCGUAAAGAGCAUGUAGGCGGAGAUUUAAGUCUGUUGUGAGAAUGCGGGGCUCAACCCCGGAAUGCGAUGGAAACUGAAUUUCUUGAGUGCAGGAGAGGAAAGGGGAAUUCCCAGUGUAGCGGUGAAAUGCGUAGAUAUUGGGAGGAACACCAGUGGCGAAGGCGCCUUUCUGGACUGUGUCUGACGCUGAGAUGCGAAAGCCAGGGUAGCGAACGG